RNAcentral lists this transfer RNA (73 nucleotides) under Paractinoplanes atraurantiacus. RNAcentral describes it as "Actinoplanes sp. Y16 tRNA". It matches the Rfam family "tRNA". From Rfam's summary of the family: Transfer RNA (tRNA) molecules are approximately 80 nucleotides in length. Their secondary structure includes four short double-helical elements and three loops (D, anti-codon, and T loops). Lineage: Bacteria; Bacillati; Actinomycetota; Actinomycetes; Micromonosporales; Micromonosporaceae. The record is from Rfam by way of RNAcentral.
AUGGGCGUAGCUCAAUUGGUGGAGCAACGGCCUCCAAAGCCGAAGGUUGCGGGUUCGAUUCCUGCCGCCCGUG